This 612-nucleotide long non-coding RNA is filed under the name Jatropha curcas. RNAcentral's name for it is "long non-coding RNA (JCUR_LNC002141)". Lineage: Eukaryota; Viridiplantae; Streptophyta; Magnoliopsida; Malpighiales; Euphorbiaceae. The record is from RNAcentral.
UCUCUCUCUCUCUCUUGUUUCGAUGAUUGGCGUUGCGCAGAUCUACUUCCUUGUCUUCUAUGCUUACCCUUGCACAAUUCAGAUUUGCUUCCUUUCCUUUGUCACUUGAAGCUUUACCACCUAUUCUCACUCUUUGGCAAUUGAUCAGUGUUGCUUCACUUGUGGUGUGUUGCCUCCUCCCUGAUACUGCUUAUGAUUAUUGAUUUUGUUUUUUUAGAGUUUUUGAAAAGAAGUUUUGUUAUUAGUUUGUUUGGUUGCUUGGAAAUAAAAGAGAAUUAAAAAAGAGGAGAUUUUGAUUUGGAUAGAUUUUUUAUUAUCAUUUGGUUAUGUUGUAUUUUAUUGAUGAAAUUUUUUGCUUUUAUUUUGGUGGUUGAUUUUAGAUUUUACAGGUGGAGAGAGAGGUUUGAAAAAUAUAUGAAAUAAAUAAUCAAAUUGAAGAAUUCGUAAAAAAAGGAAAUAUCUCCUCCGUUUCCUUUUUUAUAAGGAUAUUGCCUUUGAUUUUGAAUAAAUAUAUAGAAAAUAAAAAUACUUUUGAAAUAUCACGGGGAAGUGGACUUGAUGUUGACAAUGCUUUCUUUCUCAAUUGUUUAAUAAAAAAAACAAAUGUUUUUA